Molecule: long non-coding RNA, 296 nt
Filed under: Homo sapiens (human)
Lineage: Eukaryota; Metazoa; Chordata; Mammalia; Primates; Hominidae
Description: long non-coding RNA NONHSAT169180.1
Source: RNAcentral
CCUAGCAACCGGUCUUCUUUGGGUUUGUUGGCUCAGGAACCCAAUCUGCAUGAUCUUGUUUAUAGCCAGCUACAAACAUUUUGCAGCGUUUUACUAAACGUUUGUGAAGUGUUGUCAUAUAAAACAUCUCUUAUGAUACUUACAGAAGUCCCGAGGUAGACAGAAGACUUACCUAGUAUACUCUUUUUAUGGACAAGAAAACGGAGAAAGUUUAAAGAGACUUGACCCAGCUUAACAAAGGGUCUGAUGGAAGGCUUUCUCAUUUCACAGCUGACAGCACUGGAGACAGAGCAGGA